GACAUUGCGAUCGAAGCCUCCAAAUAAACGCAUCCGGAGAAGAAGUAGCACACGGCUGCUGGCGACUCCAACCUUGAUCGGAUCGGGGAUGGAUCCAGCCGUCCAUUGACCCUUCAAGCCAUGAUCCGACGGCGUUCGAUCGCCGGCUAUCACGGGCACCGAAUCCCCUUCGCCGAUUCCGUUACCCUCAUUCUUGAUGCCGGCGCAAGCCGCGAUCCCGGCUGUCUAAUCCUUCGCCGAUGGUGGAGAAGCCCAUGAUGUGGAGCAGCAGUCUGACUACGGAGGGCUCGUCGUUCUCCGCCGGCGACGCCGACCGGUCACAGAAAAUCCACGUCACUUCUCACCCGUAGCCGGCAAAAACAAAAGUAUGCUGGGGACGGUCAAAAAGUGCUUAAUAGAUGCGGAAGAAAAUGAGACGACAGAGAAGGCUGAUAAUCUGACAAGAAACACAUGGCAGCAUAGGGUUAGGGAACGAUGGAGAUUGUGGAACUUGCUAUUAUGCCUUAUUUUGUUGAUUAUGGUGACCUGGUAGUGGUAGGUUGCAGGGAUGAGCAUUGAUCUGUACAUAUACAUCAAGUUCUUCGUGCUAUUGCAGUUUAUUGGUUUACAGUGUGGCAAAUCACAGAUGAAGUGCAUAUAAUCGGACAAAUUCAGAUAGUUUUCAACAUUGAAAGAUCAUAGGAGCCUUCUUUUUGCUCGUCAAUGGCUGCAACAACCCUUGUGAUUAGAUGGCUGAGAGCCUGACAAUGGAGUUUAUGUUGGAAGAAAAUGUGAAAACAGGGCCAAGUUUUGUGGAUACUGCUCUGGGAAGAAUUAUUCAGGGAACCAAAGUUGUGGCAGAAGAUGAUUGUGAGAAGAUUUUUUUCAUGAACUUUUGGUUCUAUCCUGAUCAGAAACUUAGAAAAUGGCUGGUCCUAUUAGCGAAUUCUUUGCCUCGACUGCAAACUUGCAUUUUUGCAGUGUAAUAAUCUUUCUUAUAAAGUUUCUGAUUAGGAUAAAGUUGUAAUCUUUCUUAUAAACCCUAAACCCUAUAAAGUUGGAAAUUAAACUGCAUGGUCUAUGUGCAACAAUACAAUCUUCAUCGAACAAAAUGUUGCAAUAAGUAUCGAGCUUAUGUUGCAAAUGCAUGUAAUAUAUAAGUAUAUUCUCAUAUAUGUAUAUGCUUAGUUGGAGCACAGAUGUGCUUUACCAUUUAUUGGACUUUGAAUAUUAAAAGGAGGAAAAAGAAAAGUACUACAAUGCAAUAUAGGAAAGUCUUGUUAAAGCCAAUCUUCCUGCUUGGUCCAUGUGUAAAUGACUGAUACUGAUGCUACAAUGUGCCCUGAUAUUUAUUUUAUAGGGUGGAGAAAUUUUGCGUGUGCAAAGAGAUAUGUUAUAUUAUUCAGAAGACUGCAGGUUAAUGUACUGAACUGGUACAAUCAAUUUCAAGGAUCUGUUUGGAUUGUCACAGCUACUCCCUUGAACCAGACACCAUCUGUUGGUUCGCAACCGAUGUGCUCCUGAGCCAUCGAAGAGUAGCCAAAACAAUGUGCAAGCCAAAGUUGGAGUAAUGCUACUUGUCCCAUCAUUUAGGUCACAUUUGUCUUCAACGUUCUAUUGAUGGCCACAGAGCUGACUGGGGACUGUUUGAGACUCGCACAACACAGUGACAUUCUUCUUCUUUUAUUUGACUUGGUUGCUCCCACCUUGAAUGAAGCAGGUGUUGGUGAAGUGUUAUUUGUGACAAAGAUCCAAUGCCAAAGAGUUGACCUCACAGCUACGCGUUCUUUUGGAGGCCCCCGGGCUACCGAACCCUCAUCAAGGAUCCUAUUUGGUCAUUCUGGCAUGCUAAAUACAAGCAGUUCCAUCAUGGUGGACGAGCAGCGUUCCAUGGGUCUUGGAAUAGAAGAGCAGUAUUGGUGUGCCAUCCUUACCAGAACAGGCUUGGGUACUGCAUCUAAGAUUAGAUUGAGCUCAACCAACAAGAGAUCCAUCCACUCAAGAAGCCCUUCUUAGUUCAACACAAAAAAUUUGGGAAUGAUUGGCCUGUCAUCUCAACAUGGACACUUGUACAGGAAAUGCCAUAAAGCUCCCUUGUCCCAAGUUAGGCAAAUGUUCAUAUUCCCAAGAAAGGUGACACCACCGAGUCAUGUGUAAGUUCUCAUCUUUUCUUUUUUUCUUUGUAAUUCUUGAAUAAACAUGGGAUGACC
This is a non-coding RNA of Musa acuminata subsp. malaccensis (wild Malaysian banana), 2189 nucleotides long. NCBI's taxonomy places the organism in Eukaryota, Viridiplantae, Streptophyta, Magnoliopsida, Zingiberales, Musaceae. The record is from RefSeq and is a predicted model, not a curated record.